GCAAGAUGCCGCACCAUAGACACAUCGGUUUAGGCUGUUAAAAGAUGGAUCAUUUUAAAAACUGUGUUUUCCUUCCUUAAUUUUUGGUCAUUGAAGCUAGCACUUGUUUGCUGAACUGUGGAAGAACUGCAAGGUCACGCACAUUAUUCAUGAUAAAGCAACUGAGCUGACAAGUCUGUGCUUAAUUCAAGAAUAACCAGUAGGAGAGAGAGAAAACACAAGGAGUUAACCACCAUCGCCGGUGCUCUCUCAAAGGAAGAGGGGUUAACAGAUGAAUUCGCAAAGACAGCUCUUCUGGCCAAGAAUAUGGA
RNAcentral lists this long non-coding RNA (311 nucleotides) under Homo sapiens (human). Its description in RNAcentral is "non-protein coding lnc-PMAIP1-1:1". Lineage: Eukaryota; Metazoa; Chordata; Mammalia; Primates; Hominidae. The record is from RNAcentral.